CGGUAUAUGCGUGGCGACUUGAGUUUGAAUCGAACGACGAAUACGACCCAACGCGACUACUAUGACGAUGACUAUGUACUGCGAGUACGUGUGCACGUGCAUGCGCGCUCGCGCACGCAACCGGGCAAACAUAUUCACAAGAUUCGUGUCAAACUUCGAAUGCAGGGAGUGGUCCGAGAAAAAGAUUCGCGUGGAUUUGUAUUAUCGAAAAGAAUAAUAAACAUUUCUUUCGAGUAUUUGUUUACACGAUUUUGACUAUUGAGAUUUAACGUAAAGGAAGAAUAGUGAAGGUUUCGAAGUAAUAUAUUUUGUUUAGUUGAUAUUGAUAAUUGAUAUCUAAUGUUGGAAAAUAUUAAUAUAGUUUUCAAUGAAGUAUUGGUUUAAUUGAGUUUUGUCAGUAAAUAUCAAGUAUUAUAAUUAAGUAGUAUGAGAAGGAAUAAUAAAGUCUGGUCUAUAG
Polistes canadensis is the source of this 457-nucleotide long non-coding RNA. RefSeq lists it as uncharacterized. The transcript is spliced from 2 exons. Lineage: Eukaryota; Metazoa; Arthropoda; Insecta; Hymenoptera; Vespidae. The record is from RefSeq and is a predicted model, not a curated record.